UUUAGAUAAAUACUAUGAUAGAUAUUAAUAAUCAGUGUUCCUACGCAUUUUAACCAAUACUUUUUCAUGACCUUUUUGGCAAAUUUCCAUGACUAUGUCUUCCUGAAAAUCUCAGUCGACAUUAUACAAUAAGAAUAAAAAUCCGUGUUAACGUUUAUCCUCAGAGGUUUAACAAUAA
Long non-coding RNA from Etheostoma spectabile (orangethroat darter), 178 nucleotides. RefSeq lists it as uncharacterized. Lineage: Eukaryota; Metazoa; Chordata; Actinopteri; Perciformes; Percidae. The transcript has 3 exons. The record is from RefSeq and is a predicted model, not a curated record.